Molecule: ribosomal RNA, 667 nt
Filed under: uncultured archaeon
Lineage: Archaea
Description: bacterial SSU rRNA
Rfam family: Archaeal small subunit ribosomal RNA
Source: RNAcentral
CCCUUACUGCUCAGUAACACGUGGCUAAUCUACCGUAAAGAGGAGGAUAUCCUUGGGAAACUGAGGUUAAUACUCCAUAUGCUAUUGCACCUGGAAGGAGCAAUAACAGAAAGGAGCGCGAAUUGCAGCGCCACCGCUUUACGAUGAGGCCGCGGCGGAUCAGGCAGAUGGCGGGGUAACGGCCCACCAUACCAAUAACCCGUAGGGGAUGUGAGAGCAUGAGCCCCGAGAAGGGCACUGAGACAAGGGCCCUAGCGCUACGGCGUGCAGCAGGCGCGCAAACUCCACAAUGCGCGGAAGCGUGAUGGGGGGAACCUGAGUGGUCGACAUAAGUCGACCUUUUGCCAAGUACAGCAAGCUUGGCGAAUAAGUGCUGGGCAAGACCGGUGGCAGCCGCCACGGUAAUACCGGCAGCACAAGUGGUAUCCACGAUUAUUGGGCUUAAAGCGCCCGUAGCUGGCCGAUGCCGUCUCGCGUGAAAUAUUGGCGCCCAACGUCAAUGCGUGCGCGGGAUACCCAUCGGCUAGGGAGUGGGUUGGGUCAGGAGUACUUAUUGGGGAGGGGCUAAAUCCUAUAAUCCUAUAAGGAUUAACAGUGGCGAAGGCGCCUGACCAGAACACAUCCGACAGUGAGGGACGAAGGCUAGGAGAACGAAUCGGAUCAGAUA